Molecule: long non-coding RNA, 464 nt
Organism: Hydractinia symbiolongicarpus
Lineage: Eukaryota; Metazoa; Cnidaria; Hydrozoa; Anthoathecata; Hydractiniidae
Exons: 3
Source: RefSeq, a predicted model, not a curated record
AGUUAUUAAUACUUAAUUGUCUAAAGAACAAAAAAUAUAGUUUGCAUAAUUUAUACUUUAUAGCUAAACAAGUACACCUGAUCAAAUCAAUCAAUAAAUAAAUAAAAUAAAAUGGAAGUACACAUAGAAAGUACAUCAUAGCAUAGCUGUUAGGUCACAAAUAGUAUAUAUUCAUUUUUUAAAAUAAUCUACCAGGUCAAAAUGAACAGGAAAUAAUUGAUGGAAUUAGGCUGGUUUUUAAGUUGUGUUUAUAUGACAAAAACCUAUCAGGGUUAGAUGGAACUGGCUUUGAACAACAACAACAAACCUUAAGCAAUGCAGAACAAAAAGAACAAUUUCUAUAACAUAAGAAACAGAUUACAUGAGCAGAAAUAUUCACCUAGAAAUAUCAGGAAAAUUUGCCAAAGAAUCAAAAAUCAAUCAUCACGGAGUGAGAAGAACUGAAAAACCUUGGUGUCAUAUUU